CCCUUAGAUGUUCGGGGCCGCACGCGCGCUACACUGAUGGGGACAGCGUGUUUGCCAUUCCUGGUCCGGCAGGAUUGGGCAAUCCGUUGAACCCCCGUCGUGAUUGGGAUCGGAGCUUGUAACUAUUCUCCGUAAACGAGGAAUUCCCAGUAAGCGCAAGUCAUCAGCUUGCGUUGAUUACGUCCCUGCCCUUUGUACACACCGCCCGUCGCUCCUACCGAUUGAGUGGUCCGGUGAGGCUUUGGGAUCUAAGCGAAAAGAGCGUUUCGCUCCUUUUGCUGGGAGAACUCAGUCGAACCUUAUCAUUUAGAGGAAGGAGAAGUCGUAACA
Molecule: ribosomal RNA, 330 nt
Filed under: uncultured eukaryote
Lineage: Eukaryota
Description: partial 18S ribosomal RNA
Rfam family: Eukaryotic small subunit ribosomal RNA
Source: RNAcentral